GGGGAGAAGAUUCAUUAUAUAACCAGGACGCUAUCGAGCUAUCUGGCGGAAGAUGAUGUUGCAGAAUUAUCUACAGCAUUUGUUGAAGCACGUAGUACCUUUUUUUGGGUCAGCUUUGAUAUUUCCUUUCCUUUUUAUGUAGCGAUCAUGUAUUUAAAAACAGAAAAAAAAGAAAAUGCUCCAUGAUCUCAUACAAGUU
RNAcentral lists this long non-coding RNA (199 nucleotides) under Jatropha curcas. Its description in RNAcentral is "long non-coding RNA (JCUR_LNC003443)". Lineage: Eukaryota; Viridiplantae; Streptophyta; Magnoliopsida; Malpighiales; Euphorbiaceae. The record is from RNAcentral.